Molecule: long non-coding RNA, 1738 nt
Organism: Cygnus olor (mute swan)
Lineage: Eukaryota; Metazoa; Chordata; Aves; Anseriformes; Anatidae
Exons: 4
Source: RefSeq, a predicted model, not a curated record
GCUCUGGGAAGAAACAGCUGUGAGAAGCAUUUUGGAAUUCCUUUCUGCUGUGGUAUGAGAGCUGCAUUUUACUUCAGUCUCUUCACCUUAGCCCUUGCCUGACACAAGCUGCAGGUUUGCUUGUGCCUGCUCUAGCGCCUUGCCUGGUUCACUUCAGACUGGCCUCGUUGUUUGAUUGGUCAGACAAUCGGGCUGUUGGCUGGCCAUGGUCACUGUCACAAAACCUGCACUGCCCUUCUUAUUCAGGUGUACAAGCUUAUCAAAUUGGACAGAAUUAAGGACACUAUGACAAGGAGAUUUCAGGCCACUAAACUAGUUUUUAUGACACACCCUGUGGAUCUACGUUUCACAGAAUCACAAAAUUUUUUCAUCUUCUCUUCAGGAGAAAAGCAUGUGGACUCUCAACUUUUAAUAAGUGUUGUGUCAUCCAGAGAAAACUAGAAACAGUUGUGUCCAAAGGAAAAGACAAUAUGAAGUGACAACUUACGCUGGCCUGCAAGAGCUUGAUCGCAUUAACUCCCUAAUGGAGAAGCUAAUGUAUGUCGCCACUCUACCAUGUGUAAUCAUCUCAGACUGGAGAGAACAGUAUUUCCUCCAGCUGAAUACGUUUUGAUCAAUUCUCAAAAUAUUACUGCAACAUUCAUUUUUAUCUGUGACUGGUAAAGAACUUUAAUUUACAUAUUACCACUUGUUUUCAUUUCACAGUUUUAAAGGAAUUCAGUGAAGUGAAAGAGUAAAUGAUAUAAAUGAUAAAUAGAUAAUACUCAUUCAAAGUGUAUCAGUAUUUUGUCAUGCUUCAAGAACCUGCCAUGUAGUACAUACCUACACCUAAGCCGCUGCUCACCUCUUGCCUGAGGCUUUGGGAUUAAAGUAGCCAGUGGUCAACCUUACUCAGCAAAUUUUUUCUUUCCAACAAAGCUAGUGGGUUACUGUGAAUAACGCAAUGGAAGACUUGCACCUUCUGGUUCCAACUAAACAUGCAGCUACUUGAAGUUCAGUUUAUAUAAGAAGUGUGUAUAAACAAAAUGGCUGCAUAUUUUCUACUUAAUUAGAAAUGUUGAGAUAAUUAUUUUUGUAGAUGUAGAUCUUUGUGAUCGAACACAGCUAGAGGAUUUGGUACUUCAUGAUAAGGCUUUACUUUAGACAGAAUUUGUUCCAUGCAAAGUCUUUUGAAAAUUGUUACAAUACUUCUAGCCUAAAUGUAGAUCAAGGAAUCAGUGCAGGAAAAUAGUAUUGAAACAGUCUAUUUCAAUGAUAGAGCUACUUGCAAAAUGCAUUAAAAAUGCCUUUGCUUGUUCAUUGUGCUGAGACUCUUUACUGUAAGAGAGAACUCAAAUGGUGUCACCUGAUAUAAAUAAAAUCUUGUGGUGUUAAGAAAAGUACUAGGAGCAAAGAGAUGAAAACAAGCAGCUUAUAGCAAUGAAAAGCAAAUGGCACAGCAUACCAGGUAUUCUGGAAGAAUACCAGAUGUGUUCUGCUUGCAGGACAUAAACACGGUUAUACUAUAAGGACUAAUGGAGACACAAAAUGCUGAACAAAACACAUGAAAUUAAAUUUUAUUAAUUGUUUUCAUUAUUACUAGUCAGUGUGUAUCUGUAUAGAUUUGUGAACGUAUAAAGCCACAAUGCCAUUUCUGAUACCUGCACAGUUCCAGUUAGACAACUGAAGAAAAGUACUGUAACAGCAUUUUUCAUCUGAGUUUAUGGUGUUCAAGCAACUGAACAUUUAUAACACUUAA